UAGGGAAUCUUCGGCAAUGGACGAAAGUCUGACCGAGCAACGCCGCGUGAGUGAAGAAGGUUUUCGGAUCGUAAAACUCUGUUGUUAGAGAAGAACAAGGACGUUAGUAACUGAACGUCCCCUGACGGUAUCUAACCAGAAAGCCACGGCUAACUACGUGCCAGCAGCCGCGGUAAUACGUAGGUGGCAAGCGUUGUCCGGAUUUAUUGGCGUAAAGCGAGCGCAGGCGGUUUCUUAAGUCUGAUGUGAAAGCCCCCGGCUCAACCGGGGAGGGUCAUUGGAAACUGGGGGACUUGAGUGCAGAAGAGGAGAGUGGAAUUCCAUGUGUAGCGGUGAAAUGCGUAGAUAUAUGGAGGAACACCAGUGGCGAAGGCGGCUCUCUGGUCUGUAACUGACGCUGAGGCUCGAAAGCGUGGGGAGCAAACAGG
Molecule: ribosomal RNA, 428 nt
Filed under: Gemmatimonadota bacterium
Lineage: Bacteria; Pseudomonadati; Gemmatimonadota
Description: Gemmatimonadetes bacterium partial 16S ribosomal RNA
Rfam family: Bacterial small subunit ribosomal RNA
Source: RNAcentral